This 252-nucleotide long non-coding RNA is filed under the name Trifolium pratense (red clover). RNAcentral's name for it is "long non-coding RNA (TPRA_LNC008547)". The record is from RNAcentral. Lineage: Eukaryota; Viridiplantae; Streptophyta; Magnoliopsida; Fabales; Fabaceae.
CUGUCAUGUGUUUUGAACAACCACUAUCCAAAAACCAAGGCUUUUUCUUUGCACCUUGAUAGUAUCCCUGCAUUUUGAAAUUUUUGUUUAGGUGCCCAUAAUGACUUGGGUCCUUGAGGGUUAGUUUUCACAAUUUGUUUAUUCUUAAAAUAACAUUCUUUUUCAAGAUGCCCAAAAUUUUUGCAAAAUGAACAAUGUUUAUUUUUUCUCUCUAGAUGACGAUAACGUUUUGGUUCAUAGUAAAAACUUUCA